RNAcentral lists this non-coding RNA (158 nucleotides) under pig gut metagenome. Its description in RNAcentral is "RT-14 RNA". It matches the Rfam family "RT-14 RNA". Rfam says of the family: Cloacimonetes, Firmicutes, Proteobacteria. Nearby to self-splicing intron genes The record is from RNAcentral.
CUCUAAUAUUAUUUCAGAUUAUAUAUUUUAAGGAAUAUAUACAGUAAAAAUAUUAGUAUUAAAGAGAUUUAUUCCUUCCUGAAAUAGUAAAAAACUAUUUGUAAAAGGUAAAAAUGAAUCAGUAUAAUUUGUAUUAGUAAAUUUAUUGAAUAUAUGAA